RNAcentral lists this unclassified non-coding RNA (3185 nucleotides) under Mizuhopecten yessoensis (Yesso scallop). RNAcentral's name for it is "aquaporin-4-like, transcript variant X2". Lineage: Eukaryota; Metazoa; Mollusca; Bivalvia; Pectinida; Pectinidae. The record is from RNAcentral.
UUUGUAGCGUAUAGUAGUAACUCGCUGACAUAUCAGCUAUCAUUUCGUGUACAGGUAGGCUGUCCUUACCCUGGUUAUACAGGUACACUACGAUAGGGUAACGUUUAUAUAAUGGUAGAGAGACACUUACAGUGUUAUCACAACCAAUAUAACCUACAUUUACAACUUUGACGGGACAUGCUACCGGCAGUAGGAGGCGGCUCUACUCUUAGGAACAAGGACAAUUUGAUGAUCGUAGCAAUCAGUGAUUGGAGCUAUAGACAGCACUAACACGACUGGUAUCGGUGGAGUAUUUACCCAGUUUAUUACGUGAAGAUUAGCCUAUGCCGGAGUCCACUUCUCACAAGAAGAAGUAUAGCCGUGACUCUGUUCCUGCGAACCACUGGGUCAGAAGGUACAGAAUGAUCACUAGCAUCGAUGAUUUGAGAUCUUUGAGGUUUUGGAAGGCGGUUGGUGCCGAGUUUCUCGGAACGUUGCUACUGGUGAUGGUAGGAUGUGGCUCGUGUGUAGCUUGGGAUGCUGACAACAAAGUGGUCCAGAUCGCAUUCUGUUUCGGACUUAGUGUAGCCACUAUUGUAUGGAGCAUCGGACAUGUAAGUGGGGGACAUAUAAACCCGGCUGUCACGUGUGCAUUCUUCAUCACGCGCCAAAUAAGUCUUGCGCGCGGCGUUCUCUACAUUGUGGUCCAAUGUCUUGGAGCAAUAAUUGGAGCGGGCUUGUUGAAGGGGAUGACACCUCCCAGCCGCCAGGACACUUUGGGGGCCACCGUGCCACACAAUGACGUAGAUGGUGGCAGAGCGUUUGGAAUUGAAUUUUUUAUCACCUUUAUCCUCAUUUUUACCAUUUUUGCGACAUGUGACAAAAAACGUAAGGAUCUUGGCGGUUCCUUCCCGUUGUCUAUCGGCCUCGCGGUUACCAUGUGUCACCUGUUUGCAAUCCAGUUUACCGGAGCCAGUAUGAACACAGCCCGGAGUUUCGGACCUGCUGUUGUGAUGGGGGUCUGGGAUAAACACUGGGUGUACUGGUUAGCCCCACCACUCGGAGCGUGCUGUGCUGGUCUCUUGUACGACAAUGUGUUUUCCCUGAACGCGUCACUAGAGAAGGCGCGUGGAUUUCUCCUGUCCAGUGAUUACGACCACGAAGACUUCCCCGCCAAACGAAGAAAGAUCAAAGUCAUUCACGAGGAAGCAGAAGAACUUAAUGUCGACUUGAACCAGAAAGCACCGGAAACGGCCUAAACAUUUCCACGCAUGCGUAAUGGAAUCACGAUUAAGAGUGUGACAAGAAUGAUAUCGAAAACAUAUUUAACUUAUUCAUAAGGCAAUUUUAAAGAAAGUUACUACCCGUUAAGACGUUUAGAUUUGGGCUUGAGAAGGGCAGACAACUCACAAGGGACUUAUCACUGAUAGCUUACGAUAGGUUUAAGAUCUCUCUCUCGGAGAUUAAGGGUUCGGCGUUUGACGUGCAUACAAGGUUCUGGUUAUGAUUGUGGUAAUACUUGAAUGCACGUCAUAAAGUUACCUGGAAUGAGUGUACACACACACACGACUAACGAUAACCAGAUACGUAGAUAAAUAAAGCUAGUCAAGACCUGAGGCGUAUUAGGCUCGCAAAGAGGUCACGACGCCCUACACUAUAAUGCUGCAAAGCCAAAGGUAGUGAUGGAGAUCGUUUGUGAACAUGUGAGUUGGCUUGAUAAGUUUGAUAGAGCCGCCGCUUCCGUAUUGUCAAGUUAUUCUACACUUUCAAAACAAUUUGCGGAUGAGUUGAAAAAAAACGAUCUAAUUAGAAAGUAGCAGACAUCAGCUGACAUCUACCAGUUACAUAUGAACACUUUGUGACAGAAAAGGUCACAAAGGCAUUUUUCGAUGAAUGGUCGUUUUUGUUGUAUCUCUUGAUGUGUGUUUGUGGUACGUAUCACUUUAUAUACGUAUCACACGUUUGUAACACGUACCACACGCUUGUUAUACUAAUGAGUACCGAACAUUUGUCAUUCUGGUAAUAACCACCUGUUUGUCAAAUUAGUAAGGUAACCACGUGUUUGUAAUAUUAGUUAGGUUACCACAUGUUUGUAAUACCAGUAAGGUUACCACGUGUUUGUAAAAUUAGUAAGGUUACCACGUGUUUGUAAUAUCAGUUAGGUUACCACGUGUUUGUAAUAUUGGUAAGGUUACCACGUGUUUGUAAUAUCAGUUAGGUUACCACGUGUUUGUAAUAUUGGUAAGGUUACCACGUGUUUGGAAUAUCAGUAAGGUUACCGCGUGUUUGUAAUAUUAUUAAGGUUACCACGUUUUUGUAAUAUUAGUAAGGUUACCACGUGUUUGUAAUAUUAGUAAGGUUCCCACGUGUUUGUAAUAUUAGUAAGGUUACCACGUGUUUGUAAUAUUAGUAAGUAUCAUUGUUUUAAUAUCAGUAAGGUAACGACGUGUCUGUAAUAUCAGUAAGGUUACCACAUGUUUGUAAUACCAGUUAGGUUACCACGUGUUUGUAAUAUUAGUAAGUAUCAUUGUUUUAAUAUCAGUAAGGUUACCACGUGUUUGUAAUAUCAGUAAGGUUACCGCGUGUUUGUAAUAUUGGUAAGGUUACCACGUGUUUGUAAUAUCAGUAAGGCUACCACGUGUGUGUAAUAUUAGUAAAUUAAGGUAACCACAUGUUGGAAAUAUAUAUAAGCUUACCACGUGUUUGUAAUAUCAGUAAGCUUACCACGUGUUUGUAAUAUCAGUUAGGUUACCACGUGUUUGUAAUAUAAGUAAGGUUAUCACGUGUUUGUAAUAACAGUAAGCUUACCACGUGUUUGUAAUAUCAGUUUGGCUACCACGUGUUUGUAAUAUUAGUAAGGCUACCACGUGUUUGUAAUAUUAGUAAGGUUACCACGUGUUUGUAAUAUCAGUAAAUUAAGGUUACCACAUUUUUGUAAUAUAAGUAAGGUUACCACGUGUUUGUAAUAUCAGUGAUGUUACCACGUGUUUGUAAUAUCAGUUAGGUUAUAACGUGUUUGUAAUAUCAAUUAAGUUACCACGUGUUGGUAAUAUUAGUAAGGUUAUCACGUGUUUGUAAAAUAAGUAAGUAUCACGUGUUUGUAAUAUUAAUUAGGUUACCACGUGUUUGUAAUAUUAGUAAGGUUACCACGUGUUUGUAAUAUCAGUAAAUUAAGGUUACCACAUUUUUGUAAUAUAAGUAAGGUU